GAGAGGUCCAGAAGACCUGCUAACUCUUCAACCUGGUAAAAUACCAGCCCUCUCUUCUACCAAAGG
RNAcentral lists this transfer RNA (66 nucleotides) under Agkistrodon taylori. RNAcentral describes it as "tRNA-Ser". Lineage: Eukaryota; Metazoa; Chordata; Lepidosauria; Squamata; Viperidae. The record is from RNAcentral.